UACAGAGGUCCCAAGCGUUGUUCGGAUUCAUUGGGCGUAAAGGGUGCGUAGGUGGUGAGGUAAGUCGGAUGUGAAAGCUCGGAGCUCAACUCCGAAAUGGCAUUGGAAACUACCUUGCUCGAGGGUUGGAGGGGGGACUGGAAUACUUGGUGUAGCAGUGAAAUGCGUAGAUAUCUGGAGGAACACCGGUGGCGAAGGCGGCAUCCUGGACCGGUAUUGACGCUGAGGCGCGAAAGCCAGGGGAGCAAACGGG
Molecule: ribosomal RNA, 253 nt
Filed under: uncultured bacterium
Lineage: Bacteria
Description: partial 16S ribosomal RNA
Rfam family: Bacterial small subunit ribosomal RNA
Source: RNAcentral